Molecule: ribosomal RNA, 663 nt
Filed under: uncultured Acidobacteriota bacterium
Lineage: Bacteria; Pseudomonadati; Acidobacteriota
Description: bacterial LSU rRNA
Rfam family: Bacterial large subunit ribosomal RNA
Source: RNAcentral
AGUAAAUUUUAUGGUCAAGCUACUAAGGGCGCAUGGUGGAUGCCUUGGCAGUAGGAGGCGAAGAAGGACGUGGUAAGCUGCGAUAAGCCUCGGGGAGCCGCAAACAGGCUUUGAUCCGGGGAUUUCCGAAUGGGGAAACCCUAUGCGGUAAAACCGCAUAACGGCCCGACGAAUCCAUAGUCGGGUGCGAGCAAACCCAGGGAAGUGAACCAUCUCAGUACCUGGAGGAAAAGAAAGAAAUUCGAUUCCGAAAGUAGUGGCGAGCGAAAUCGGAASAGCCCAAACCCGUUGAACCUUCGGGUUCAGCGGGGGUUGUAGGACCCGCAACAGUAGAGUUACCAAUCCAGUCACUAGUCGAAGCCCUCUGGAAAGAGGGGCCAUAGAGUGUGAUAGCCACGUAGGCGAAAGUGAUCUGGACUCGAAGCGGGCACCUAAGUACCGCGGGGCACGUGAAACCCUGCGGGAAUCUGCGGAGACCAUUCCGCAAGGCUAAAUACUACCUACUGACCGAUAGUGAACCAGUACCGUGAGGGAAAGGUGAAAAGAACCCCUGCGAGGGGAGUGAAAUAGUACCUGAAACCGUGUGCCUACAAGCAGUGGGAGGGCUAUGCCCGUAAGGGAAUGCCUGACCGCGUGCCUAUUGCAUAAUGAGCCGGCUAGUUA